RNAcentral lists this ribosomal RNA (1776 nucleotides) under Triticum aestivum (bread wheat). RNAcentral's name for it is "partial small subunit ribosomal RNA". Lineage: Eukaryota; Viridiplantae; Streptophyta; Magnoliopsida; Poales; Poaceae. The record is from RNAcentral.
AUGCGCACAGACAGGAGAGGGGAAAGCUUAUUACUAUCAGAUAUGGGAAGCUUCUUGCCAUGGGGAUCGUUGAUACUACUAUUUCUGUUGUUACAGUCCAUACUUCACUUGUCCUCCGGCUGCUUGAUGGAGGAGAGGGCUGCACUAAUGGACAUCAGGUCUUUCCUUAUGAGAGCGCAUUCCCUGAUUGCGCUUGAUUCAUGGAGGAAGGAUGAUGAUGACUGCUGCUCGUGGGAGCUUGUGAAAUGCAACAAUGAAACAAAGCGAGUGUCUCAUCUCUACCUUUCGGGUGUAUACCUAAGUAACCUAACAAUUCCAGAUGUCCCUCAGUAUUUAAACUCGACGGUAUUUUCUGCAUUCCACGAGCUUCAGUACCUAGAUCUAUCAUCCAAUUCUUUCCGUUCACUAAGCUUGGAAGGGUUGGUUGGACUAUCCAAGCUUCGAUAUCUCGACCUCAGUGACAAUACAUUUGAAGGGUGUUUCCCUGAAACUAUUGGGCGCAUUGUUUCACUGGAAGUCUUGGUUCUCAACUAUAACAACAUGAAUGGACGUCUUCCAACCACAGCUGUUGAAAAUCUUAGAAACUUGCGACAAUUGAAUAUGUCUGAGAAUAGCUUCAGCGGAAACCUCCCAGAACCGCUAUUUUCACUCCCUCACUUAAAGAUCCUGGAUCUCUCCAGCAAUAACUUUGGUGGGCAUAUUCCAGUUAGUUCAUCCUCAGGGCCCAUUUCACUUGAAGUCUUAGAUCUCAGCAUUAAUGGCCUCAGUGGAACUCUCCCAGUUAAAGCCUUUGGAAACAUCAGGAACUUGAAUUUGCAUGGCAACCUAUUCAGUGGAUCUCUCCCAGUGUCAAUAUUUGCACUUCCUCAUCUGAAGUUCCUAGAUCUCUCAUAUAAUAAUUUUGUGGGACGUUUUCCUAUUAAUUUCUCGUCAGAACCAGUUCCACUUGAUGUCUUAUGUCUUCACGGUAAUAGCAUGAGUGGAGCACUGCCGAUUGAACGAGCAUUUGAAAAUCUACUGAACCUACGGGAGUUGUAUCUGAGUUCCAACCGAUUCAUCGGAAACAUUCCAACAUUCUUGUUUUCGCUACCACACAUUGAACAGUUAAAUCUAUCAACUAAUUAUUUUGAAGGACCAUUUCCGAUAAAUCCAUCUUCGAAUCUUUCAUCGUCACUUAAGAGUCUUCGGUUCUCCCAAAACAAUCUGAGUGGUAGACUUUCUUUCGUUUGGCUUGGAAACCUCACAAAACUUGAAGAGAUAGAUCUUUCAGGCAAUGCCAACCUGGCUGUUAAUAUUUCCGGAUGGACACCUCCGUUCCAGUUGAAACAACUACUGCUCUCUGCUUGUGACCUUGACAAGAACAUAAUUGCGGAACCACAUUUUUUACGCACACAGCGUCAUUUAGAGGUGCUUGAUUUGUCCAACAAUAACUUGUCAUGCAGCAUGCCAAAUUGGUUGUUUACAGAGGAAGCAACACUACAGGUUCUAAAUCUUGGGAAUAACUCGCUAACUGGAUCGCUGGACCCAAUAUGGCAUACCCAAUAUUCUCUCAGCAGUAUCGAUAUACACAUGAACCAUGUCGCAGGACAGCUGCCGGCCAACCUCAGCUCAAUGUUUCCAAUUUUGUCUGUUCUAGAUUUUUCUAGUAACAACUUGUUUGGGGACAUACCAACGUCACUGUGCGAGAUCAGCUUCAUGGGAAUUUUAGACCUAUCAAACAACAAACUUUCUGGGGAGGUCCAGCUUGUGUUUUUAUUAAUUAUCCCCUGCUAUUGA